AUACGUAGGUGGCGAGCGUUGUCCGGAAUUACUGGGCGUAAAGGGCGCGUAGGCGGCCUGUCAAGUCAGAUGUGAAAUCCCCGGGCUUAACCCGGGAACUGCAUUUGAAACUGGCGGGCUUGAGGGCAGGAGAGGAAAGCGGAACUCCCAGUGUAGCGGUGAAAUGCGUAGAUAUUGGGAGGAACACCAGUGGCGAAGGCGGCUUUCUGGACUGUCACUGACGCUGAGGCGCGAAAGCCAGGGGAGCGAACGGGAUUAGAUACCCCGGUAGUCCUGGCUGUAAACGAUGGGUACUAGGUGUUGGGGGUAUCGACCCCUCCAGUGCCGCAGCAAACGCAUUAAGUGUUCCGCCUGGGGAGUACGGCCGCAAGGCUAAA
RNAcentral lists this ribosomal RNA (377 nucleotides) under uncultured bacterium. Its description in RNAcentral is "bacterial SSU rRNA". It matches the Rfam family "Bacterial small subunit ribosomal RNA", at positions 523 to 898 of the family's 1533-position model. The record is from RNAcentral.